RNAcentral lists this ribosomal RNA (429 nucleotides) under Acidobacteriota bacterium. Its description in RNAcentral is "Acidobacteria bacterium partial 16S ribosomal RNA". It matches the Rfam family "Bacterial small subunit ribosomal RNA", at positions 355 to 776 of the family's 1533-position model. Lineage: Bacteria; Pseudomonadati; Acidobacteriota. The record is from RNAcentral.
UGGGGAAUUUUGGACAAUGGGGGAAACCCUGAUCCAGCCAUCCCGCGUGUGCGAUGAAGGCCUUCGGGUUGUAAAGCACUUUUGGCAGGAAAGAAACGUCAUGGGUUAAUACCCCGUGAAACUGCCGGUACCUGCAGACUAACCACCGGCUAACUACGUGCCAGCAGCCGCGGUAAUACGGAGGGUGCAAGCGUUAAUCGGAAUUACUGGGCGUAAAGCGUGCGCAGGCGGUUCGGAAAGAAAGAUGUGAAAUCCCGGAGCUCAACUAUGGAACUGCAUUUGAAACUACCAGGCUAGAGGGUGGGAGAGGGAGGUGGAAUUCCGAGUGUAGCAGUGAAAUGCGUAGAUAUGCGGAGGAACACCGGUGGCGAAGGCGGCCUACUGGGAUGACACUGACGCUGAGGGACGAAAGCGUGGGGAGCAAACAGG